GUUGCUAGAACAGUUGAGAUGAUAGGGCAACCAAAGAAAAUGUGGACAAUUCUGUAGACUUGACAUAAUUUUAUCGGAAGAUAACAGUGCUUAUACAUACGCCCGUCAGUCUCCUAAGAUUAGCAAGGUUUCAGCGGUUUUGCGCUAGACGAAAGCCUCAAAAUAUACCAGCUCAGUGUGGUACCAAGUCUAACUUGAGCAUAGAGAUUUCGUCAGAAUGAGAGCUUAAUAUGAAACAACAUGGAGCAGUUUAAAACAAGAACUGAAGAAGCUUAAAUUCAAGAAGGCAUCGCGUUGGUAUAGCUUACCUGCUGACCCAAACA
Long non-coding RNA from Actinia tenebrosa (Australian red waratah sea anemone), 323 nucleotides. NCBI's taxonomy places the organism in Eukaryota, Metazoa, Cnidaria, Anthozoa, Actiniaria, Actiniidae. The record is from RefSeq and is a predicted model, not a curated record.